AGCAAUGUAGAUCAAAAGAGAUACUUGUUCAUGAGCAAAAUGGAACAUUGGGACAUAGUAGAACAUGUUUAGGUAGAAGUUGGAUUGGAAAAACAAGGUUUAGGCCACUGAAUUGGAUUAACAAGUGAGAUCGACACCACUGUCGAUAACUGACGAACUGAAUCUCUGAUUCAGUCGAAUUCAGAACCAACUCGAGCAACAUCUCCAAAAUUCCACUGGUUUGAUGAUUAUCUUGGGACGGAGCCAAAACAAAAGAUGGAGAAUUUGAGUUUAUCUGUAACUUUCUUUAAGCAUCGGUGUGCCGUUCGAUCAAAGAUCAACCACGACGCGGCUCUGAAGGUCACGGGCGGUGACAGAGCUCCAGACGUGUCGCCGCCGCCGUCGUCGGUCGACCGCCAGGGCAACCAGCUAGGCCACCUCCUCACCACGCAAGCCUACGGGUAGGCCACGGUGUCGUCCAUGCGAGGGGUGAAUCGCUUGAAUAGUUACUGUUCCCGCGCCACCGUUUCACUGCCUCCCCUUUUUACCGCCGCCCGCUCUCCUCUGUCAAGCUUCACCGCCAAGCAAAAUUCCGCCGCAACAUCUCAUCUCCCGUCGAUUCCUCUCGCCCACUCCUCCACAGACACCCUAGCUUCACCCCGAGCCAGUCGUUGUCCCACAUCCUUGCCGGAAUAGCCGUGCUCGCCGCCGCUUCUGUCCGCCGCCGUCACGCCGCCCGCUCACGGUGAGAACCACCUUGCGCUAUCUCUCUUUCUCCCUGAGUAGUUGUAGUCGAGUCCUUGGGGUCCUAGGAUGGUGUAGGGGUAGAUGUUUGAGUCAGUUAAGUCGAUGUCGCAAGAAGCCACGGCCGGCCGAGGGAGUCGCCGCCUGUCGCCGUGGAGGGGAUGGCUCCGGCCAUCUCCCGGGGAGCUGUUGCCGCGCACGAGGUCGUGUAGGUCUAGG
This 942-nucleotide long non-coding RNA is filed under the name Setaria viridis. RNAcentral's name for it is "long non-coding RNA (SVIR_LNC006935)". Lineage: Eukaryota; Viridiplantae; Streptophyta; Magnoliopsida; Poales; Poaceae. The record is from RNAcentral.